CGUAGGGGCGAGCGUUGUCCGGAAUGAUUGGGCGUAAAGGGCGCGUAGGCGGCUGUGCAAGUCAGUAGUGGAAGCCCAGCUUUUAAGGUUGGAAGUGCUAUUGAAACUGUGCAGAUUGAGUGCAGGAGAGGUUAUCGGAAUUCCCGGUGUAGCGGUGAAAUGCGUAGAGAUCGGGAGGAACACCAGUGGCGAAGGCGGGUGACUGGACUGCAACUGACGCUGAGGCGCGAAAGUGUGGGGAGCAAACAGGAUUAGAUA
Molecule: ribosomal RNA, 258 nt
Filed under: uncultured prokaryote
Description: partial 16S ribosomal RNA
Rfam family: Bacterial small subunit ribosomal RNA
Source: RNAcentral